RNAcentral lists this long non-coding RNA (19943 nucleotides) under Lactuca sativa (garden lettuce). Its description in RNAcentral is "long non-coding RNA (LSAT_LNC004269)". Lineage: Eukaryota; Viridiplantae; Streptophyta; Magnoliopsida; Asterales; Asteraceae. The record is from RNAcentral.
UUUCGGCUUUUCAUGAGCCAUGCAUGGAUCCUCCCCUCCCUCUUUGAAAGGAAAUGACCUUAAUUCAUCAAGGCCAUCCUCAACAAGAUACGGUGAAAGGUCUCCCACAUUAAAGGUAGCAUGCACUCCAUGGUCUCGUCCCAGAUCAACCUUAUAAGUAUUAUCAUUGACAUGUGUCACCACUUUGUAAGGACCUUCAGCUCUUGGCAUCAACUUUUGUUCUUCCUUUUGUUAGCAAAACGUUCUUUCCUCAUAUGCGCCUAAACCACGUCACCAUCUUGUAAGACACGUGGUUUCCUAUGCAUGUUGGAAUUAUGUUUGUACACGUCAUACACAGCUUCAAUCUUCACACAAACUUGUUGGUGUAGUUACAUCAUGGCCUUCAAAUUGUCAUUUGCAUCCUUGUGAACCAAUUCACCAUUUGGAAAUGGAAUGAAAUACAAAGGCUUGUAAGGAUUCACACCAUACACCACUUACGUAGGCUUAUAAGGACCUUCAGCUUUUGGCAUCAACUUUUGUUUGGAAAACGUUCUUUCCUCAUAUGCACCAACACCAAAUCACCAUCUUGAAAGACACGAGGUUUCCUAUACAUGUUGGAAUUCUGUUUGUACACGUCAAUCACGGCUUCAAUCUUCACACUAGCUUGUUGGUGUAGUUUCGUCAUGGCCUUCAACUUGUCAUUAGCAUCCUUGUGAACCAAUUCAUCGUUUGGAAAUGGAAUAAUAUACAAAGGCUCGUAAGGAUUCACACCAUACACCACUUACAAAGGCUUGUAAGGACCUUCAGCUCUUGGCAUCAACUCUUGUUCAAAGUGAACAAAGGUUAGUUUGAUUAAAAUUUCAUCUAUCUCUUUUUUCCAUGCAUAAUUGGCUUAUAUGAAGCCUUUAUAACAAAGUUGGUGGUUACUAGCCACCCAACCAACUACUCAGUAAAACUAAUAAUGGAAAUUAAAGAAACUCAUGAAACCACACAAAAAAACGUCUGACACACUGAUGAAUGAAAAAAGUGUCCAUGCUCCAUUAAGGAGCAAAAAGAAGCAUUAAAGUGUAAUCCAAAUCCACCAAAGAGUAUCAACAAUGGCUAGAAGGCUUGACGAAGCAAAAAGUAACAGUUUUGAGCACUUAUUAAGCCUUUAAAAUGUUGCCCUAGCCUUCAUGCGACCCUAAUUUAAUACGUAGGUUACCAUGCACAACCCAACCAUUGAGUACAAACCACCUUCUGGCCUACUAGUAAUCACUAAUCCAUCACAUUUUUCGGCUUUUCAUGAGCCAUGCAUGGAUCCUCCCCUCCCUCUUUGAAAGGAAAUGACCUUAAUUCAUCAAGGCCAUCCUNGUACUAAAAAGUAACUUAGUACCAACUUUCCUCCACAAAGUGUUCCAAAUGUAACUCAAAAACAAGGAAUCCCUAUCAGAAACAAUAGUUUUACGAAUAAUAUGCAAGCGGACCACUUCUUUAAAGUACAAAUCAGAAAGAUUAGAUGAAUCAUUGGUUUUAUGACAUGGCAAAAAGUGAGCCAUUUUUGAAAACCUAUCCACCACCAAUAUAAUGGAUUCCUUCCUCCUUUGAGUUCUAGGCAAAGCCAUACUGAAUUCCAUCGACACAUCUUGCCAAGGACGAAUACGAACCGUCAAAGGAGUGUAAACACCAUGCUUGAAAGUUUUUUCGUCAUCCGACAUGUAACACACUUCCCCACUAUGUUGGUUACAUCCCUAACAUCUUUAGGCCAGAAGAAAUGUUCUUAAAGCACCUUCAAAGUUUUGGUAAUGGAAAAAUGACCCGCCAAACCACCACCAUGAGCUUCACGAAUCAGCAACUCCCGUANUAUUGAAUGUUUAGGGACACAAAGAUGAUUGCCUUUUGAUACCUUUAUGGGCUUGAUUAAGCGAGUAGGGUUUUGUUUAGGUAAAUUAAGCUAGAAUAACAACCACAAAUGGUAGGUGUAUAGGAAAAAAUGGAUAGAUUAGUAAAAAAUCAAGACCUACUAAGUUGUAUACUCGUGAAAACUAUCCAAGAAAUAAUAUUUGUUUGAAUGCGUAUCAAUUCAAGAACACAUCUCGACUAUGACAAGUAGUGAACUAUAACUAUAGUUCAAAGUGAACAAAGGUUAUUUUGAUUAAAAUUUCAUCUAUCUCUUUUUUCCAUGCAUAAUUGGCUUAUAUGAAGCCUUUAUAACAAAGUUGGUGGUUACUUGCCACCCAACCAACUACUCAAUAAAACUAAUAAUGGAAAUUAAAGAAACUCAUGAAACCACACAAAAAAACGUCUGACACACUAAUGAAUGAAAAAAGCAUCCACGCUCCACUAAGGAGCAAAAAGAAGCAUUAAAGUGUAACCCAAAUCCACCAAAGAGUGUCAACAAUGGCUAGAAGGCUUGAUGAAGCAAAAAGUAACAUUUUGAGAACUUAUUAAGCCUUUACAAUGUUGCCCUAGCCUUCAUGCGACCCCAAUUCUAUACGUAGGUUACCAUGCACAACCGAACCAUUGAGUACAAACCACCCUCUAGCCUACUAGCAAUCACUAACCCAUCAACUUUUUCGGCUUUCCAUGAGCCAUGCAUGGAUCCUCCCCUCCCUCUUUGAAAGGAAAUGACCUUAAUUCAUAAAGGCCAUCCUCAACAAGAUACGGUGAAAGGUCUCCCACAUUAAAGGUAGCAUGCACUCCAUGCUCUCGUCCCAAAUCAACCUUAUAAGUAUUAUCAUUGACAUGUGUCACCACAUUGUAAGGACCUCAGGGCUUGGCAUCAACUUUUGUUCUUCCCUUUGUUAGCAAAACGUUCUUUCCUCAUAUGCACCUAAACCAAGUCACCAUCUUGUAAGACACGUGGUUUCCUAUGCAUGUUGGAAUUUUGUUUGUACACGUCAUUCACAGCUUCAAUCUUCACACAAACUUGUGGGUGUAGUUACAUCAUGGCCUUCAAAUUGUCAUUUGCAUCCUUGUGAACCAAUUCAUCAUUUGGAAAUGGAAUCAAACACAAAGGCUUGUAAGGAUUCACACCAUACACCACUUACGAAGGCUUACGGACCUUCAGCUUUUGGCGUCAACUUUUGUUCUUCCUUUUGUUUGGAAAACGUUCUUUCCUCAUAUGCACCUAAACCAAGUCACCGUCUUGAAAGACACGAGGUUUCCUAUACAUGUUGGAAUUCUAUUUGUACACGUCAUUCACGGCUUCAAUCUUCACACGAGCUUGUUUGUGUAGUUUCGUCAUGGCCUUCAACUUGUCCUUAGCAUCCUUGUGAACCAAUUAAUCUUUUGGAAAUGGAAUAAUAUACAAAGGCUUGUAAGGAUUCACACCAUACACCCCUUACAAAGGCUUGUAAGGACCUUCAGCUCUUGGCAUCAACUUUUGUUCUUGCUUUUGUUAGGAAAACAUUCUUUCCUCAUAUGCACCUAAACCAAGUCACCAGCUUGAAAGACAUGUGGUGUCCUAUGCAUGUUGGAAUUCAAUUUGUACACGUCAUUCAUGGCUUCAAUCUUCACAAGAACUUGUUGGUGUAGUUUCAUCUUGGCCUUCAACUUGUCAUUAGCAUCCUUGUGAACCAAUUCAACGUUUAGAAAUGGAAUCAAAUAUAAAGGCUUGUAAGGAUUCACACCAUACAUCACUUAUAAAGGACAGUAACCUGUAGCAUAAGUAGGAGAACGAUUACAGGCAAACUCAGCAUGUGCAAGUUUGAUGUCCAACUGUUUAGUAGUUUUGCUAACCAACCCCCUCAACAACAUACCCAAAGUACAAACUUUGGGUAUGUGGAUGAUGGGACGCACUAAAAAAUAACUUAGUACCAACUUUCCUCCACAAAGUGUUCCAAAUGUAACUCAAAAACAAGGAAUCCCUAUUAAAAACAAUAGUUUUAGGAAUAAUAUGCAAGCGAACCACUUCUUUAAAGUACAAAUUAGACACAUUAGAUGAAUCAUUGGUUUUAUGACAUGGCAUAAAGUGAGCCGUUUUUGAAAACCUAUCCACCACCACUAUAAUGGAUUCCUUCCCCCUAAGAGUUCUAGGCAAAGCCAUACUGAAUUCUAUUGACACAUCUUGCCAAGGAUGAAUAGGAAACGACAAAGGAGUGUAAACACCAUGCUUGAAAGUUUUUUUCGUCAUCCAACAUGUAACACACUUGCCCACUAUGUUGGUUACAUCCCUAACAUCUUUAGGCCAGAAGAAAUGUUCUUAAAGCACCUUCAAAGUUUUGGUAAUGGAAAAAUGACCCGCCAAACCACCACCAUGAGCUUCACGAAUCAACAACUCCCGUAUUGCAUGUUUAGGGACACAAAGGUGAUUGCCUUUUGAUGCCUUUAUGGGCUUGAUUAAGUGAGUGGGGCUGUGUUUAGGUAAAUUAAGCUAGAAUAACAACCACAAUUGAUAGGUGUAUUGGAAGAAAUGGAUCAACUAGUAACAAAUCAAGACCUACUAAGUUGUAUACCCGUGAAAACUAUCCAAGACAUAAUAUUUGUUUGAAUGCGUAUCAAGUCAAGAACACAUCUCGACUAUGACAAGUAGUGAACUAUAACUAUAAUUCAAAGUGAACAAAGGUUCUUUUGAUUAAAGUUUCAUCUAUCUCUUUUUUCCAUGGAUAAUUGGCUUAUAUGAAGCCUUUAUUACAAAGUUGGUGGUUACAAACCACCCAACCAACUACUUAGUAAAACUAAUAAUGGAAAUUAAAGAAACUCAUGAAACCACACAAAAAAACGUCUGACACACUAAUGAAUGAUAAAAGCGUCCAUGCUCCAUUAAGGAGCAAAAAGAAGCAUUAAAAUGUAACCCAAAUCCACCGAAGAGUAUCAGUGAUGGCUAAAAGGCUUGAUGAAGCCAAAAGUAACGGUUUUGAGUACUUAUUAAGCCUUUAAAAUGUUGCCCUAUCCUUCAUGCGACCCUAAUUCAAUACGUAGGUUACCAUGCACAACCCAACCAUUGAGUACAAACCACCUUCUAGCCUACUAGUAAUCACCUUUUUCGGCUUUUCAUGAGCCAUGCAUGGAUCCUCCCCUCCCUCUUUGAAAGGAAAUGACCUUAAUUCAUCAAGGACAUCCUCAACAAGAUAUGGUGAAACGUCUCCUACAUUAAAGGUAGCAUGCACUCCAUGGUCUUGUCCUAGAUCAACCUUAUAAGUAUUAUCAUUGACAUGUGUCACCACUUUGUAAGGACCUUCAGCUGAUGGCAUCAACUUUUGUUCUUCCUUUUGUUAGCAAUACGUUCUUUCCUCAUAUGCACCUAAACCAAGUCACCAUCUUGUAAGACACGUGGUUUCCUAUGCAUGUUGGAAUUCUAUUUGUACACGCCAUUCACAGCUUCAAUCUUCACACAAACUUGUUGGUGUAGUUACAUCAUGGCCUUCAAAUUGUCAUUUGCAUCGUUGUGAACCAAUACAUCAUUUGGAAAUGGAAUCAAAUACAAAGGCUUGUAUGGAUUCACUCCAUACACCACUUACGAAGGCUUAUAAGGACCUUCAACUUUUGGCAUCAACUUUUGUUCUUCCUUUUGUUUGGAAAACGUUCUUUCCUCAUAUGCACCUAAACCAAGUCACCAUCUUGAAAGACACGAGGUUUCCUAUACAUGUUGGAAUUUUAUUUAUACACGUCAUUCACGGCUUCAAUCUUCACACGAGCUUGUUGGUGUAGUUUCUUCCGGGCCUUCAACUUGUCAUUCGCAUCCUUGUGAGCCAAUUCAUCAUUUGGAAAUUGAAUAAUAUACAAAGGCUUGUAAGGAUUCACACCAUAGACCACUUACAAAGGCUUGUAAGGACCUUCAGCUCUUGGCAUCAACUUUUGUUCUUCCUUUUGUUACGAAAACGUUCUUUCCUCAUAUGCACCUAAACCAAGUCACCAUCUUGAAAGACAUGUGGUUUCCUAUGCAUGGUUGAAUUCUAUUUGUACACGUCAUUCAUGGCUUCAAUCUUCACAAGAACUUGUUGGUGUAGUUUCAUCAUGGCCUUCAACUUGUCAUUAGUAUCCCUGUGAACCAAUUCAUCGUUUGAAAAUGGAAUCAAAUAUAAAGACUUGUAAGGAUUCACACUAUACCCCACUUAUAAAGGGAGUGACCUGUAGCAUAAAUAGGAGAACGAUUACAGGCAAACUCAGCCUGUGCAAGUUUGAUGUCCAACUGUUUUUGAGUUUUGCUAACCAACCCCCUCAAUAAACGUACCCAAAGUUCUAUUAGUCACCUUCGUUUGCCCAUCAGUUUGUGGAUGAUGGGACGUACUAAAAAGUAACUUUGUACCAACUUUCCUCCACAAUGUGUUCCAAAUGUAACUCAAAAACAAGGAAUCCCUAUCAGAAACAAUAGUUUUACGAAUAAUAUGCAAGCGAACCACUUCUUUAAAGUACAAAUCAGAGACAUUAGAUGAAUCAUUGGUUUUAUGACAUGGCAUAAAGUGAGCCAUUUUUGAAAACCUAUCCACCACCACUAUAAUGGAUUCCUUCCCCCUUUGAGUUCUAGCAAAAUCCAUACUAAAUUCCAUUGACACCUCUUGCCAAGGACGAAUAGGAACCGACAAAGGAGUGUAAACACCAUGCUUGAAAGUUUUUUUCGUCAUCCGACAUGUAACAAAGUUGCCCACUAUGUUGGUUACAUCCCUAACAUAUUUAGGCCAGAAGAAAUGUUCUUAAAGCACCUUCAAAGUUUUGGUAAUGGAAAAAACCACCACCAUGAGCUUCACGAAUCAGCAACUCCUGUAUUGCAUGUUUAGGGACACAAAGGUCAUUGCCUUUUGAUGCCUUUAUGGGCUUGAUUAAGUGAGUGGGGCUGUGUUUAGGUAAAUUAAGCUACAAUAACAACCACAAUUGAUAGGUGUAUAGGAAGAAAUGGAUAGAUUAGUAACAAAUCAAGACCUACUAAGUUGUAUACCCGUGAAAACUAUCCAAGACAUAAUAUUUGUUUGAAUGCGUAUCAAGUCAAGAACACAUCUCGACUAUGACAAGUAGUGAACUAUAACUAUAAUUCAAAGUGAACAAAGGUUCUUUUGAUUAAAGUUUCAUCUAUCUCUUUUUUCAAUGGAUAAUUGGCUUAUAUGAAGCCUUUAUUACAAAGUUGGUGGUUACAAGCCACCCAACCAACUACUCAGUAAAACUAAUAAUGGAAAUUAAAGAAACUCAUGAAACCACACAAAAAAACGUCUGACACACUAAUGAAUGAUAAAAGCAUCCAUGCUCCAUUAAGGAGCAAAAAGAAGCAUUAAAAUGUAACCCAAAUCCACCGAAGAGUAUCUACAAUGGCUAAAAGGCUUGAUGAAGCCAAAAGUAACGGUUUUGAGAACUUAUUAAGCCUUUAAAAUGUUGCCCUAUCCUUCAUGCGACCCUAAUUCAAUACGUAGGUUACCAUGCACAACCCAACCAUUGAGUACAAACCACCUUCUAGCCUACUAGUAAUCACUAACCCAUCACUUUUUUCGGUUUUUCAUGAUCCAUGCAUGGAUCCUCCCCUCCCUCUUUGAAAGGAAAUGACCUUAAUUCAACAAGGCCAUCCUCAACAACAUACUGUGAAAGGUCUCCCACAUUAAAGGUAGCAUGCACUCCAUGCUUUCGUCCCACAUCAACCUUAUAAGUAUUGUCAUCGACAUGUGUCACCACUUUUUAAGGACCUUCAGCGCUUGGCAUCAACUUUUGUUCUUCCCUUUGUUAGCAAAACGUUCUUUCCUCAUAUGCACCUAAACCAAGUCACCAUCUUGUAAGACACAUGGUUUCCUAUGCAUGUUGAAAUUUUGUUUGUACACGUCAUUCACAGCUUCAAUCUUCACACAAACUUGUUGGUGUAGUUACAUCAUGGCCUUCAAAUUGUCAUUUGCAUCCUUGUGAAAAAAUUCAUCAUUUGGAAAUGGAAUCAAAUACAAAGGCUUGUAAGGAUUCACACCAUACACCACUUACGAAGGCUUAAGGACCUUCAACAUUUGGCAUCAACUUUAGUGAUUCCUUUUGUUUGGAAAACGUUCUUUCCUCAUAUGCACCUAAACCAAGUCACCAUCUUGAAAGACACGAGGUUUCCUAUACAUGUUGGAAUUCUGAUUGUACACGUCAUUCACGGCUUCAAUCUUCACACGAGCUUGUUGGUGUAGUUUCGUCAUGGCCUUCAACUUGUCAUUAGCAUCCUUGUGAACCAAUUCAUCAUUUGGAAAUGGAAUAAUAUACAAAGGCUUGUAAGGAUUAACACCAUACACCACUUACAAAGGCUUGUAAGGACCUUCAGCUCUUUGCAUCAACUUUUGUUCUUCCUUUUGUUAGGAAAACGUUCUUUCCUCAUAUGCACCUAAACCAAGUCACCAGCUUGAAAGACAUGUGGUUUCCUACGCAUGUUGGAAUUCUGUUUGUACACAUCAUUCAUGGCUUGAAUCUUCACAAGAACUUGUUGGUGUAGUUUCAUCAUGGCCUUCAACUUGUCAUUAGCAUCCUUGUGAACCAAUUCAACGUUUGGAAAUGGAAUCAAAUAUAAAGGCUGGUAAGGAUUCACACAAUACAUCACUUAUAAAGGACAGUGACCUGUAGGAUAAGUAGGAGAACGAUUACAGGCAAACUCAGCAUGUGCAAGUUUGAUGUCCAACUAUUUUUGAGUUUUGCUAACCAACCCCCUCAACAACGUACCCAAAGUUCUAUUAGUCACCUUCGUUUGCCCAUCAGUUUGUGGUUGAUGGGACGUACUAAAAAGUAACUUAGUACCAACUUUCCUCCACAAAGUGUUCCAAAUGUAACUCAAAAACAAGGAAUCCCUAUCAGAAACAAUAGUUUUACGAAUAAUAUGCAAGCGGACCACUUCUUUAAAGUACAAAUCAGAAAGAUUAGAUGAAUCAUUGGUUUUAUGACAUGGCAAAAAGUGAGCCAUUUUUGAAAACCUAUCCACCACCAAUAUAAUGGAUUCCUUCCUCCUUUGAGUUCUAGGCAAAGCCAUACUGAAUUCCAUCGACACAUNGAAACGACAAAGGAGUGUAAACACCAUGCUUGAAGGUUUUUUCGUCAUCCGACAUGUAACACACUUGCCCACUAUGUUGGUUACAUCCCUAACAUCUUUAGGCCAGAAGAAAUGUUCUUAAAGCACCUUCAAAGUUUUGGUAAUGGAAAAAUGACCCGCCAAACCACCACCAUGAGCUUCACGAAUCAGCAACUCCCGUAUUGCAUGUUUAGGGACACAAAGGUCAUUGCCUUUUGAUGCCUUUAUGGGCUUGAUUAAGAGAGUGGGGUUGUGUUUAGGUAAAUUAAGCUAGAAUAACAACCACAAAUGAUAGGUGUAUGGGAAGAAAUGGAUACAUUAGUAACAAAUCAAGACCUACUAAGUUGUAUACUCGUGAAAACUGUCCAAGACAUAAUAUUUGUUUGAAUGCGUAUCAAGUCAAGAACACGUCUCAACUAUAACAAGUAGUGAAAUAUAACUAUAAUUAAAAGUGAACAAAGGUUCUUUUGAUUAAAAUUUCAUCUAUCUCUUUUUCCAUGCAUAAUUGGCUUAUAUGAAGCCUUUAUAUCAAAGUUGGUGGUUACAAACCAACCACCCAACUACUCAGUAAAACUAAUAAUGGAAAUUAAAGAAACUCAUGAAACCACACAAAAAAAAACGUCUGACACACUAAUUAAUGAAAAAACGUCCAUGCUCCAUUAAGUAGCAAAAAGAAGCAUUAAAGUGUAACCCAAAUCCACCAAAGAGUAUCAACAAUGGCUAGAAGGUUUGAUGAACCAAAAAGUAACGGUUUUGAGCACUUAAUAAGCCUUUAAAAUAUUGCCCUGACCUUCACGCGACCCUAAUUCAAUACGUAGGUUGCCAUGCACAACCCAACCAUUAAGUACAAACCACCUUCUAGCCUACUAGUAAUGACUAAUCCAUCACCUUUUUCGGCUUUUCAUGACCCUUGCAUGGAUCCUCCCCUCCCUCUUUGGAAGGAAAUGACCUUAAUUCAUCAAGGCCAUCCUCAACAAGAUACGGUGAAAGCUCUCCCACAUUAAAGGUAGCAUGCACUCCAUGGUCUCCUCCCAGAUCCACCUUAUAAGCAUUAUCAUUGACAUGUGUCAUCACUUUGUAAGGACCUUCAGCUCUUGGCAUCAACUUUUGUUCUUCCUUUUGUUAGGAAAACGUUCUUUCCUCAUAUGCUCCUAAACCAAGUCACCAUCUUGUAAGACACGUGGUUUCCUAUGCAUAUUGGAAUUCUGUUUGUACAUGUCAUUCACAGCUUCCUUCUUCACACAAACUUGUUGGUGUAGUUACAUCAUGGCCUUCAAAUUGUCAUUUGCAUCCUUGUGAACUAAUUCAUCAUUUGGAAAUGGAAUCAAAUACAAAGGCUUGUAAGGAUUCACACCAUACACCACUUACGAAGGCUUAUAAGGACCUUCAGCUCUUGGCAUCAACUUUUGUUCUUCCUUUUGUUUGGUCAACGUUCUUUCCUUAUAUGCACCUAAAUUAAGUCACCAUCUUGAAAGACACGUGCUUUCCUAUACAUGUUGGAAUUGUACUCGUCAUUCACGGCUUCAGUCUUCUCACGAGCUUGUUGGUGUAGUUUCACCAUGGCCUUCAACUUGUCAUUAGCAUACUUGUGAACCAAUUCAUCGUUUGGAAAUGGAAUCAAAUACAAACGCUUUUAAGGAUUCACACGAUACACCACUUACAAAAGCUUGUAAGGACAGCUCUCGACAUCAACUUUUGUUCUUCCUUUUGUUAGGAAAACAUUAUUUCCUCAUAUACACCUAAACUAUGUCACCAGCUUGAAAGACAUGUGGUUUCCUAUGCAUGUUGGAAUUUUGUUUAUACACGUCAUUCAUGUCUUCAAUCUUCAAAAGAACUUGUAUGUGUAGUUUCAUCAUGGCCUUCAACUUGUCAUUAGCAUCCUUGUGAACCAAUUCAUCGUUUGGAAAUGGAAUCAAAUAUAAAGGCUUGUAAGGAUUCACACCAUACAUCAGUUAUAAAGGACAGUGACCUGUAGCAUAAGUAGGAAAACGAUUACAGGGAAACACAGCAUGUGCAAGUUUGAUGUCCAACUAUUUUUGAGUUUUGCUAACCAACCCCCUCAACAACAUACCCAAAGUUCUAUUAGUCAUCUUCGUUUGCCCGUCAGUUUGUGGAUGAUGGGACGUACUAAAAAAUAACUUAGUACCAACUUUCCUCCACAAAGUGUUCCAAAUGUAAGUCAAAAACAAGGAAUCCCUAUCAGAAACAAUAGUUUUAGGAAUAAUAUACAAGCGAACCACUUCUUUAAAGUACAAAUCAAACACAUUAGAUGAAUGGGUUUUAUGACAUGGCAUAAAGUGAGCCAUUUUUGAAAACCUAUCCACCACCACUAUAAUGGAUCCAUUCCUCCUUUGAGUUCUAGGCAAAGCCAUACUGAAUUCCAUCGACACAUCUUGCCAAGGACGAAUACGAACCGUCAAAGGAGUGUAAACACCAUGCUUGAAAGUUUUUUUCGUCAUCCGACAUGUAACACACUUUCCCACUAUGUUGGUUACAUCCCUAACAUCUUUAGGAUAGAAGAAAUGUUCUUAAAGCACCUUCAAAGUUUUGGUAAUGGAAAAAUGACCCGCCAAACCACCACCAUGAGCUUCACGAAUCAGCAACUCCCGUAUUGCAUGUUUAGGGACACAAAGGUCAUUGCCUUUUGAUGCCUUUAUGGGCUUGAUUAAGAGAGUGGGGUUGUGUUUAGGGAAAUUAAGCUAGAAUAACAACCACAAAUGAUAGGUGUAUGGGAAGAAAUGGAUAGAUUAGUANCAAGACCUACUAAGUUGUAUACCCGUGAAAACUAUCCAAGACAUAAUAUUUGUUUGAAUGCAUAUCAAGUCAAGAACAGGUCUCGACUAUGACAAGUAGUGAACUAUAACUAUAAUUCAAAGUGAACAAAGGUUCUUUUGAUUAAAAUUUCAUCUAUCUCUUUUUUCCAUGCAUAAUUGGCUUAUAUGAAGCCUUUAUUACAAAGUUGUUGGUUACAAACCACCCAACCAACUACUCAGUAAAACUAAUAAUGGAAAUUAAAGAAACUCAUGAAACCACACAAAAAAAACGUCUGACACACUAAUGAAUGAAAAAAGUGUCCAUGCUCCAUUAAGUAGCAAAAAGAAGCAAUAAAGUGUAACCCAAAUCCACCAAAGAGUAUCAACAAUGACUAGAAGGCUUGAUGAAGCAAAAAGUAACGAUUUUGAGCACUUAUUAAGCCUUUAAAAUGUUGCCCUAGCCUUCAUGCGACCCUAAUUCAAUACGUAGAUUACCAUACACAACCCAACCGUUGAGUAUAAACCUCCUUCUAGCCUACUAUUAAUCAAUCACUAAUCCAUCACCUUUUUCGGCUUUUAAUGAGCCAUGCAUGGAUCCUCCCCUCCCUCUUUGAAAGUAAAUGACCUUAAUUCAAAAAGGCCAUCCUCAACUAGAUACGGUGAAAGCUCUCCCACAUUAAAGGUAGCAUGCACUCCAUGGUCUCCUCCCAGAUCCACCUUAUAAGCAUUAUCAUUGACAUGUGUCACCACUUUGUAAGGACCUUCAGCUCUUGGCAUCAACUUUUGUUCUUCCUUUUGUUAGGAAAAUAUUCUUUCCUCAUAUGCACCUAAACCAAGUCACCAUCUUGUAAGACACGUGGUUUCAUAUGCAUGUUGGAAUUCUGUUUGUACAUGUCAUUCACAGCUUCCAUCUUCACACAAACUUGUUGGUGUAGUUACAUCAUGGCCUUCAAAUAGUCAUUUGCAUCCUUGUGAACCAAUUCAUCAUUUGGAAAUGGAAUCAAAUACAAAGGCUUGUAAGGAUUCACACCAUACACCACUUACAAAAGCUUGUAAGCACAGCUCUCGGCAUCAACUUUUGUUCAUCCUUUUGUUAGGAAAACAUUAUUUCCUCAUAUACACCUAAACCAUGUCACCAUCUUGAAAGACACGUGGUUUCCUAUGCAAGUUGGAAUUCUAUUUGUACACGUCAUUCACGGCUUCAAUCUUCAGACGAACUUGUUGGUGUAGUUUCAACAUGGCCUUCAACUUGUCAUUAGCAUCCUUGUGAACCAAUUCAUCGUUUGGAAAUGGAAUCAAAUACAAUGGAUUGUAAGGAUUCACACCAUACACCACUUAUAAAGGAGUGACCUAUAGCAUAAGUAGGAGAAUGAUUACUCGUAAACUCAGCAUGUGUAAGUUUGAUGUCCAACUGUUUUUGAGUUUUGCUAACCAACCCCCUCAACAACGUACCCAAAGUUCUAUUAGUCACCUUCGUUUGCCCAUCAGUUUGUGGUUGAUGGGACGUACUAAAAAGUAACUUAGUACCAACUUUCCUCCACAAAGUGUUCCAAAUUUAACUCAAAAACAAGGUUUCCCUAUCAGAAACAAUAGUUUUAGGAAUAAUAUGCAAGCGAACCACUUCUUUAAAGUACAAAUCAGACACAUUAGAUAAAUCAUUGGUUUUAUGACAUGGCAUAAAGUGAGCCAUUUUUAAAAACCUAUCCACCACCACUAUAAUGGAUUCCUUCCCCCCUUUGAGUUCUAGGCAAAGCCAUACUAAAUACCAUUGACACAUCUUGCCUAGGACGAAUAGGAACCGACAAAGGAGUGUAAACACCAUGCUUGAAAGUUUUUUUCAUCAUCUGACAUGUAACACACUUUCCCGUUAUGUUGGUUACAUCCCUAACAUCUUUAGGCCAGAAGAAAUGUUCUUAAAGCACCUUCAAAGUUUUGGUAAUGGAAAAAUGACCCGCCAAACCACCACCAUGAGCUUCACGAAUCAGCAACUCCCGUAUUGCAUGUUUAGGGACACAAAUGUGAUUGCCUUUUGAUGCCUUUAUGGGCUUGAUUAAGUGAGUAGGGCCGUGUUUAGGUAAAUUAAGCUACAAUAACAACCACAAAUGAUAGGUGUAUGGGAAGAAAUGGAUCGAUUAGUAACAAAUCAAGACCUACUAUGUUGUAUACUUGUGAAAACUAUCCAAGACAUAAUAUUUCUCUGAAUGCGUAUCAAGUCAAGAACAUGUCUCGACUAUGACAAAUAAUGAACUAUAACUAUAAUUCAAACUGAACAAAGGUUCUUUUGAUUAAAAUUUCGUCUAUCUCUUUUUUCCAUGCAUAAUUUGGCUUAUAUGAAGCCUUUAUUACAAAGUUGGUGGUUACAAGCCACCCAACCAACUACUCAGUUAAACUAAUAAUGAAAAUUAAAGAAACUCAUGAAACCACACAAAAAAACGUCUGACACACUGAUGAAUGAAAAAAGUGUCCAUGCUCCAUUAAGGAGCAAAAAGAAGCAUUAAAGUGUAAUCCAAAUCCACCAAAGAGUAUCAACAAUGGCUAGAAGGCUUGACGAAGCAAAAAGUAACAGUUUUGAGCACUUAUUAAGCCUUUAAAAUGUUGCCCUAGCCUUCAUGCGACCCUAAUUUAAUACGUAGGUUACCAUGCACAACCCAACCAUUGAGUACAAACCACCUUCUGGCCUACUAGUAAUCACUAAUCCAUCACAUUUUUCGGCUUUUCAUGAGCCAUGCAUGGAUCCUCCCCUCCCUCUUUGAAAGGAAAUGACCUUAAUUCAUCAAGGCCAUCCUCAACAAGAUACGGUGAAAGGUCUCCCACAUUAAAGGUAGCAUGCACUCCAUGCUCUCGUCCCAGAUGAACCUUAUAAGUAUUACCAUUGACAUGUGUCACCACUUUGUAAGGACCUUCAGCUCUUGGCAUCAACUUUUGUUCUUCCCUUUGUUAGCAAAACGUUCUUUUCUUAUAUGCACCUAAACCAAGUCACCAUCUUGUAAGACACAUGGUUUCCUAUGCAUGUUGGAAUUUUGUUUGUACACGUCAUUCACAGCUUCAAUCUUCACACAAACUUGUUGGUGUAGUUACAUCAUGGCCUUCAAAUUGUCAUUUGCAUCCUUGAAAACCAAUUCAUCAUUUGGAAAUGGAAUGAAAUACAAAGGUUUGUAAGGAUUCACACCAUACACCACUUACGAAGGCUUAUAAGGACCUUCAACUCUUGGCAUCAACUUUUGUUCUUCCUUUUGUUUAGAAAACAUUGUUUCCUCAUAUGCACCUAAACCAAGUCCCCAUCUUGAAAGACACGUGGUUUCCUAUACAUGUUGGAAUUUUGUUUGUACACGUCAUUCAUGGCUUCAAUCUUCACACGAGCUUGUUCGUAUAGUUUCGUCAUGGCCUUCUACUUAUCAUUAGAAUCCUUGUGAACCAAUUCAUUGUUUGGAAAUGGAAUCAAAUAUAAAGGCAUGUAAGGAUUCACACCAUACACUACUUAUAAAGGAGAGUGACCUGUAGCAUAAGUAGGAGAACGAUUACAGGCAAACUCAGCAUGUGCAAGUUUAAUGUCCAACUGUGUUUAAGUUUUGCUAACCAACCCCGUCAACUACGUACCCAAAGUUCUAUUAGUCACCUUUGUUUGCCCAUGAGUUUGUGGAUGAUGGGACGUACUAAAAAGUAACUUAGUACCAAUUUCCCUCCGCAAAGUGUUCCAAAUGUAACUCAAAAAUAAGGAAUCCCUAUCAAAAACAAUAGUUUUAGAAUAAUAUGCAAGCAAACCACUUCAUUAAAGUACAAAUCAGACCCAAUAGAUGAAUCAUUGGUUUCAUGACAUGGCAUAAAGAGAGCCAUUUUUGAAAACCUAUCCACUACCACUAUAAUGGAUUCCUNNNNNNNNNNNNNNNNNNNNNNNNNNNNNNNNNNNNNNNNNNNNNNNNNNNNNNNNNNNNNNNNNNNNNNNNNNNNNNNNNNNNNNNNNNNNNNNNNNNNCGCCCCGGAACGUUUCCGCCAUCGGUUUCGGGGUGUGACACAUAUGCAUGUUGGAAUUCUAUUUGUACACGUCAUUCACAACUUCAAUCUUCACAAGAACUUGUUGGUGUAGUUUCAUCAUGGCCUUCAACUUGUCAUUAGCAUCCUUGUGAACCAAUUCAUCGUUUGGAAAUGGAAUCAAAUAUAAAGGCUUGUAAGGAUUCAGACCAUACACCACUUAUAAAGGAGAGUGACCUGUAGCAAAAGUAGGAGAACAAUUACAAGCAAACUCAACAUGUGCAAGUUUGAUGUCCAACUGUUUUUUAGUUUUGCUAACCAACCCCCUCAAUAACGUACGCAAAGUUCUAUUAGUCACCUUCAUUUGCCCAUCAGUUUAUGGAUGAUGGGACGUACUAAAAAGUAACUUAGUACCAACUUUCCUCCACAAAGUGUUCCAAAUGUAACUCAAAAAUAAGGAAUCCCUAUCAGAAACAAUAGUUUUAGUAAUAAUAUGCAAGCGAGCCACUUCUUUAAAGUACAAAUCAGACACAUUAGAUGAAUCAUUGGUUUUAUGACAUGGCAUAAAGUGAGCCAUUUUUGAAAACCUAUCCACCACCACAAUAAUGGAUUCCUCCCCCCUUUGAGUUCUAGGCAAAGCCAUACUGAAUUCCAUUGACACAUCUUGCCAAGGAGGAAUAGGAAACGACAAAGGAGUGUAAACACCAUGCUUGAAAGUUUUUUUCGUUAUCCGACAUGUUGCCCACUAUGUUGGUUACAUCGCUAACAUCUUUAGGCCAUAAGAAAUGUUCUUAAAGCACCUUCAAAGUUUUGGUAAUGGAAAAAUGACCCGCCAAACCACCACCAUGAGCUUCACGAAUCAGCAACUCCCGUAUUGCAUGUUUAGGGACACAAAGGUGAUUGCCUUUUGAUGCCUUUAUGGGCUAGAUUAAGUGAGUGGGGCUGUGUUUAGGUAAAUGAAGCUAGAAUAAAAACCACAAAUGACAGGUGUAUGGGAAGAAAUGGAUAAACUAGUAACAAAUCAAGACCUACUAAGUUGUAUACCCGUGAAAACUAUCCAAGACAUAAUAUUUGUUUGAAUGCGUAUCAAGUCAAGAACACGUCUCGACUAUGACAAGUAGUGAAAUAUAACUAUAAUUCAAUGUGAACAAAGGUUCUUUUGAUUAAAAUUUCAUCUAUCUCUUUUUCCAUGCAUAAUUGGCUUAUAUGAAGCCUUUAUUACAAAGUUGUUGGUUACAAACCACCCAACCAACUACUCAGUAAAACUAAUAAUGGAAAUUAAAGAAACUCAUGAAACCACACAAAAAAAAACGUCUGACACACCAAUNGUCCACGCUCCAUUAAGGAGCAAAAAGAAGCAUUAAAGUGUAACCCAAAUCCACCAAAGAGUAUCAACAAUGGCUAGAAGGCUUGAUGAAGCAAAAAGAAACAUUUUUGAGCACUUAUUAAGCCUUUAAAAUGUUGCCCUAGCCUUCAUGCGACCCUAAUUCAAUACGUAGGUUACCAUGCACAACCCAACCAUUGAGUACAAACCACCUUCUAGCCUACUAGUAAUCACUAAUCCAUCACCUUUUUCGGCUUUUCAUGAGCCAUGCAUGGAUCCACCCCUCCCUCUUUGAAAGGAAAUGACCUUAAUUCAUCAAGGCCAUCCUCAACAAGAUACGGUGAAAGGUCUCCCACAUUAAAGGUAGCAUGCACUCCAUGGUCUCGUCCCAGAUCAACCUUAUAAGUAUUAUCAUUGACAUGUGUCACCACUUUGUAAGGACCUUCAGCUCUUGGCAUCAACUUUUGUUCUUCCUUUUGUUAGCAAAACGUUCUUUCCUCAUAUGCGCCUAAACCACGUCACCAUCUUGUAAGACACGUGGUUUCCUAUGCAUGUUGGAAUUCUGUUUGUACACGUCAUACACAGCUUCAAUCUUCACACAAACUUGUUGGUGUAGUUACAUCAUGGCCUUCAAAUUGUCAUUUGCAUCCUUGUGAACCAAUUCACCAUUUGGAAAUGGAAUGAAAUACAAAGGCUUGUAAGGAUUCACACCAUACACCACUUACGUAGGCUUAUAAGGACCUUCAGCUUUUGGCAUCAACUUUUGUUUGGAAAACGUUCUUUCCUCAUAUGCACCAACACCAAAUCACCAUCUUGAAAGACACGAGGUUUCCUAUACAUGUUGGAAUUCUGUUUGUACACGUCAAUCACGGCUUCAAUCUUCACACUAGCUUGUUGGUGUAGUUUCGUCAUGGCCUUCAACUUGUCAUUAGCAUCCUUGUGAACCAAUUCAUCGUUUGGAAAUGGAAUAAUAUACAAAGGCUCGUAAGGAUUCACACCAUACACCACUUACAAAGGCUUGUAAGGACCUUCAGCUCUUGGCAUCAACUCUUGUUCAAAGUGAACAAAGGUUAGUUUGAUUAAAAUUUCAUCUAUCUCUUUUUUCCAUGCAUAAUUGGCUUAUAUGAAGCCUUUAUAACAAAGUUGGUGGUUACUAGCCACCCAACCAACUACUCAGUAAAACUAAUAAUGGAAAUUAAAGAAACUCAUGAAACCACACAAAAAAACGUCUGACACACUGAUGAAUGAAAAAAGUGUCCAUGCUCCAUUAAGGAGCAAAAAGAAGCAUUAAAGUGUAAUCCAAAUCCACCAAAGAGUAUCAACAAUGGCUAGAAGGCUUGACGAAGCAAAAAGUAACAGUUUUGAGCACUUAUUAAGCCUUUAAAAUGUUGCCCUAGCCUUCAUGCGACCCUAAUUUAAUACGUAGGUUACCAUGCACAACCCAACCAUUGAGUACAAACCACCUUCUGGCCUACUAGUAAUCACUAAUCCAUCACAUUUUUCGGCUUUUCAUGAGCCAUGCAUGGAUCCUCCCCUCCCUCUUUGAAAGGAAAUGACCUUAAUUCAUCAAGGCCAUCCUCAACAAGAUACGGUGAAAGGUCUCCCACAUUAAAGGUAGCAUGCACUCCAUGGUCUCGUCCCAGAUCAACCUUAUAAGUAUUAUCAUUGACAUGUGUCACCACUUUGUAAGGACCUUCAGCUCUUGGCAUCAACUUUUGUUCUUCCUUUUGUUAGCAAAACGUUCUUUCCUCAUAUGCGCCUAAACCACGUCACCAUCUUGUAAGACACGUGGUUUCCUAUGCAUGUUGGAAUUCUGUUUGUACACGUCAUACACAGCUUCAAUCUUCACACAAACUUGUUGGUGUAGUUACAUCAUGGCCUUCAAAUUGUCAUUUGCAUCCUUGUGAACCAAUUCACCAUUUGGAAAUGGAAUGAAAUACAAAGGCUUGUAAGGAUUCACACCAUACACCACUUACGUAGGCUUAUAAGGACCUUCAGCUUUUGGCAUCAACUUUUGUUUGGAAAACGUUCUUUCCUCAUAUGCACCAACACCAAAUCACCAUCUUGAAAGACACGAGGUUUCCUAUACAUGUUGGAAUUCUGUUUGUACACGUCAAUCACGGCUUCAAUCUUCACACUAGCUUGUUGGUGUAGUUUCGUCAUGGCCUUCAACUUGUCAUUAGCAUCCUUGUGAACCAAUUCAUCGUUUGGAAAUGGAAUAAUAUACAAAGGCUCGUAAGGAUUCACACCAUACACNAAGGAUUCACACCAUACACCACAUACAAAGGCUUGUAAGCACCUUCAGCUCUUGGCAUUAACUUUAGUUCUUCCUUUUUUAAGUAAACGUUCUUUCCUCAUAUGCACCUAAACCAAGUCACCAUCUUGAAAGACACAUGGUUUCCUAUGCAUGUUGGAAUUCUGUUUGUACACGUCAUUCACGGCUUCAAUCUUCACACGAGCUUGUUGGUGUAGUUUCGUCAUGGCCUUCGACUUGUCAUCAGCAUCCUUGUGAACCAAUUCAUCGUUUGGAAAUGGAAUAAUAUACAAAGGCUUGUAAGGAUUCAUACCAUACACAACUUACAAAGGCUUGUAAGGACCUUCAGCUCUUAGCAUCAACUUUUGUUCUUCCUUUUGUUAGGAAAACGUCCUUUCCUCAUAUGCACCUGAACCAAGUCACCAUCUUGAAAGACACGUGGUUUCCUAUGCAUGUUGGAAUUCUGUUUGUACACGUCAUUCACGGAUUCAAUCUUCACAUGAACUUGUUGGUGUAGUUUCAUCAUGGCCUUCAACAUGUCAUUAGCAUCCUUGAGAACCAAUUCAUUGUUUGAAAAUGGAAUCAAAUAUAAAGGCUUGUAAGGAUUCACACCAUACACCACUUAUAAAGGAGAGUGACCUGUAGCAUAAAUAGGAGAACGAUUACAUGCAAACUCAGCCUGUGCAAGUUUGAUGUCCAACUAUUUUUGAGUUUUGCUAACCAACCCCCUCAAUAAAC